AGUGUGAUUCAAACGGCACAGACAAUUGACAACAAUAUUGAGUGUAUAGAUAUCAGAUUUGAGUCGUAAGGAGAACAAGUAUUUGAUUAACGAAAUGGCAGCUGUGUAAUGCUUCAUCUUAACAAUAGAGCUAAACAAAAAGUUAAAGUCAUUCACACAUGGCAAAGGGUUCAUGGAAAGCAUUUUGUCAAACAGAUGCAGAGCAGAAUCAAGGUUCUGGAGAUUCCUAAUAGAAUUUACGAGAUGGGGUCUGUCCUUGAUGGCAUCAAGAAAGGGUUUGGGAUGAGAAAGGGUACCAAAUUGAGAUUGCUGCAGAAAGAA
Molecule: long non-coding RNA, 321 nt
Organism: Arachis duranensis
Lineage: Eukaryota; Viridiplantae; Streptophyta; Magnoliopsida; Fabales; Fabaceae
Exons: 3
Source: RefSeq, a predicted model, not a curated record